UGAGCUUCUUCUGGGCCAGCCAUUGUUUCAUGGGGAAAAUGCUGUAGAUCAACUUGUUGAGAUCAUCAAGGUUCUUGGUACUCCAACACGAGAAGAAAUUCGAUGCAUGAAUCCAAAUUAUACGGAUUUUAGAUUCCCACAGAUUAAAGCUCAUCCGUGGCACAAGAUUUUCCACAAACGGAUGCCUCCUGAAGCAAUUGACCUUGCUUCUCGGCUUCUUCAAUAUUCACCUAGUCUUCGUUGCACUGCACUUGAAGCUUGUGCACAUUCUUUCUUUGAUGAGCUACGUGAGCCUAAUGCCCGCCUUCCAAAUGGUCGGCCAUUGCCGCAUCUUUUCAACUUCAAACAGGAACUGUCAGGAGCUUCACCUGAAUUGAUCAACAGGCUCAUACCUGAACAUGUGAGGAGGCAGAGUGGUCUCAGCUUCCCGCAUCCAGCUGGUUCUUAAAUGUAAAGUAAUUGAACGAGGACUCUCCUUUUCUGCUAGU
This 488-nucleotide unclassified non-coding RNA is filed under the name Hevea brasiliensis (rubber tree). The record is from RNAcentral. Lineage: Eukaryota; Viridiplantae; Streptophyta; Magnoliopsida; Malpighiales; Euphorbiaceae.